AAAGUUGUUGCAGUUAAAAAGCUCGUAGUUGGAUUUCUGGUGGGGCUGUCGGCCUGGCUCCGAAGGGGUCGUGGUAUCGUUACACGCCUGGCCAUCCUCGGGGGAAGCUUUGCUGGCAUUAAGUUGUCGGCGGAGUGACGCUCGUCGUUUACUGUGAACAAAUUAGAGUGUUCAAAGCAGGCUUAGGCCGUUGAAUACAUUAGCAUGGAAUAAUGAGAUAGGACUUUGGUGGUCUAUUUUGUUGGUUUGCACGCCGAAGUAAUGAUUAAUAGGGGCGGUUGGGGGUAUUCGUAUUCAAUUGUCAGAGGUGAAAUUCUUGGAUUUAUGGAAGACGAACUACUGCGAAAGCAUUUACCAAGGAUGUUUUCAUUAAUCAAGAACGAAAGUUAGGGGAUCGAAGAAGAUUAGAUACCUUCGUAGUCUUAACCAUAAACUAUGCCGACUAGGGAUUGGCGGUCGCUUGUUCAGGCUCCGUCAGCACCUUAUGAGAAAUCAAAGUCUUUGGGUUCCGGGGGGAGUAUGGUCGCAAGGCUGAAACUUAAA
This 543-nucleotide ribosomal RNA is filed under the name Dictyochophyte sp. RCC505. Its description in RNAcentral is "SSU rRNA". It matches the Rfam family "Eukaryotic small subunit ribosomal RNA", at positions 606 to 1148 of the family's 1831-position model. Lineage: Eukaryota; Dictyochophyceae. The record is from RNAcentral.